This is a non-coding RNA of Artibeus jamaicensis (Jamaican fruit-eating bat), 551 nucleotides long. Lineage: Eukaryota; Metazoa; Chordata; Mammalia; Chiroptera; Phyllostomidae. The record is from the annotation of a RefSeq genome assembly.
AAGCCUCCUUCUUUUGCCACUUUAGUGCCACCAUGGGCUGCAGGCUGCUCUGCUGUGUAGCCCUUUGUCUCCUGCGAGCAGGCUCCAGUGAUGCCCAGGUCAUUCAGACUCCAGGACAUCUGGUCAAAGGCAAAGGACAGAAAGCAAGGAUGGACUGCACCCCCCAAAAAGGACACCCCGUUGUUUACUGGUAUCAACAGAUCCCGAAAAAAGAGUUUAAGUUUUUGAUCUCCUUUCAGAACGAAGAUAUUCUUAAUCAAAUCGAGUUGUUCAAAGAGCGAUUCUCAGCGAAUUGCCCCAAAACCUCACCGUGCAGCCUGGAAAUCCAGUCCUCUGAAACGGGCGACUCAGCUCUGUAUUUCUGUGCCAGCAGCCAGUCCACAGUGCUGCAAUGUCAGCUCCUUGCAGUGCACAAACACAACCUGGGCACAGCUCAGGGAGCAGCUGGCACGUUGGGCUGUAACAGAAGCCAACUGGAGUCAGCUUGAGCCACGGUGGAAUUUCACACCAGGCUAAUGUGUGCGGAGCAGCAGUCAAGGAAUGGUGAACAG